Molecule: ribosomal RNA, 304 nt
Filed under: Smarididae sp. AP-2010
Lineage: Eukaryota; Metazoa; Arthropoda; Arachnida; Trombidiformes; Smarididae
Description: eukaryotic LSU rRNA
Rfam family: Eukaryotic large subunit ribosomal RNA
Source: RNAcentral
CCAAGGAGUCUAACAUAUGCGCGAGUCACUCGGUCUUGAAUAGGCCUGAAGGGCGAAAUGAAAGUAAAAUGUCUGAUCUGGGUGUAGCUGCCGUAAGGUAGGUCCCCAGCGCAAGACAGGCCCGCUUAUUCUGCUUUUUGACAGUUUAGCGGAGUUUGAGCGCAUACGUUGGUACCCGAAAGAUGGUGAACUAUGCUUGGGCAAGACGAAGCCAGAGGAAACUCUGGUGGAGGUCUGUAGCGAUUCUGACGUGCAAAUCGAUCGUCAGACCUGAGUAUAGGGGCGAAAGACUAAUCGAACCAUC